Molecule: non-coding RNA, 27 nt
Filed under: Mus musculus (house mouse)
Lineage: Eukaryota; Metazoa; Chordata; Mammalia; Rodentia; Muridae
Source: RNAcentral
UAGUGAAGGUGGCCAGGGAGAAAACUC